Molecule: ribosomal RNA, 463 nt
Filed under: uncultured bacterium
Lineage: Bacteria
Description: bacterial SSU rRNA
Rfam family: Bacterial small subunit ribosomal RNA
Source: RNAcentral
GGAUCUUCGGAUCCUGAGGCCAAAGAUCGCACCGGCUUGCCGGUGCUGUCUCCAGGGGAUGGGCCCGCGUCCGAUUAGCUAGUUGGYGAGGUAAUGGCUCACCAAGGCUACGAUYGGUAGCUGGUCUGAGAGGAUGAUCAGCCACACUGGAACUGAAACACGGUCCAGACUCCUACGGGAGGCAGCAGUGAGGAAUAUUGCGCAAUGGGGGAAACCCUGACGCAKCAACGCCGCGUGGGUGAAGAAGGCCUUCKGGUUCGUAAAGCCCUUUUGGACGGGACGAACGCUUUGCGGCGAAAGCCGCGGAGUCUGACGGUACCGUAGGAAGAAAGCACCGGCUAACUCCGUGCCAUCAGCCGCUGGUAAUACGGAKGGUUCGAGCGUUKUUCCGAAUUACUGGGCGUAAAAGCGCGUGUAGGCGGUCYUUGUCAAGUCAAGCGUUAAAAGCCCUUKGCCUUAACCC